This 370-nucleotide long non-coding RNA is filed under the name Oryza brachyantha (malo sina). Its description in RNAcentral is "long non-coding RNA (OBRA_LNC000673)". Lineage: Eukaryota; Viridiplantae; Streptophyta; Magnoliopsida; Poales; Poaceae. The record is from RNAcentral.
GGGGGGGGGGGAGAUUGCUUUAGCUAGCGGCCGGCCGGGAAGGGAGCAUGCAUGGCAGGGUGGGGCCCACGACCACGGCAGCAGCAGUGGUCCCUCCCAUGGCAGGUCAGGCUCAGGCUCUGACGAAGACGACCUCUACUGUAGCAAGGUGAAGAGUAACAGUGUGCAGUGCAGUGUAAGCUCGGGUAAUCAAGCAAGCACGUACGUACAAGCAACCGGAUAUUGUUCAUCUAGACUUUGUUUUCGCUGGCUAGAGCGAGCUUGCUGCGUCUGAACGAACGAACGACGAAGGGUGGCCGAUGAUCCAUGUACGCUAGCUGUGUAAAUACGCAUACUAGUGCUGUAGAAAUCUUGGAUUCCUUGCAUGCAA